UCCGGCCACUCUCCUGCCUGGGCUGCUGCUCAACGGGGGCUGGGGGUGUGUGGGGCGGGGGUGGUCUGUCCAGUGAUUCAGCCACAUGUGAUAGAUGACCAAGUGACUGCUUUCUUGGAGUCCGCACACCAGUGGAAGACUCUCAAAGUGGUUGUGACCGACUUGAUCAAACUCUAGGCUUCCUGAACUGGUAACUGUCACUUUAAUAUAGGUUACUGAUUAAACUCAGAAAAAUGCAGCUUAAAAUCUUUGCCAGGAACUUGUGUGGACUUAUUCCCUGUUCCCCCCCCCACCCCCCUUGUUCUGAUUUGUUUUGUCACAGGAAUGAAAUGCAGAUAACUCUUUAGAAAACUUUUGUAGGAAAAGCGCCUCGUGUGAUCUGGAACAAAGACGUUUUAUAAUCAGAUUUAUCAAGCUGCGAAGAGGGAGUUUUAGUGAACGGAAGCAGCAGCAUUCUGUCACCAGGAAAUACUCCUUUAUCCAGAAUUGGAGGUAUAAACCAGUGGAGUUUAUCAUUGAAUAGAGUGCAGAGAAAGGACCGCAAGAAAGCUGAUCACCUCAGCAAUGAAUGAUUUCAAUACGAUUUCACCCAAAUGGUCUCACACACCAGCCUAGUAAACCAGAGAUAAGGUGUAAUGUCAUCCUUCCUUCCUUCUCCCUGCCUCAACUGUCAAAGAUUGACAACUUACAUGUUGUUUACUUUUUGGCUUCUAUUUCUGUUCAUAAUUAUUAUCAGAAGGCAUAGCACCCACAAGCCUAAUCAUACUGCCUUACAACCUUAUUCCUCUUCAUUUUGUCUUCUCACUUACCUGCAGAAACCCAGUUUAUUUUUGUUCUCCCUUUACCACACCAGCCUUGUAACUGUUAUGAAUGACCCUCAAUCUCACUGGAAUCUGAAUCACUCAGGAAUUCAAGCAAACUGGAUGUUUUAACCACUGUUCAGCUUUCUUAUGGAAUGACAGAGAACUUGUAAAGAUAAAACACCAGUUUGCAGGAAGAAAGGAAGAGAAUGGAAAUUGCUUCUGGAAAAUACUAGUUUUACAAUAUGUUUUGUUUGUCUGCUCUCUUAAAUAAACUUAAUCCUAUAAACAUUUUUUAAGAACUAGCCAUUAAGACUGUUAAGUUCUCAAUUAUAAAGGAAUAAAAUGUUUUAAGGAGGAUUUAUUUGCCCUUGCUUAUAUGAACUGCAUAUUUUUAGUAGGAAAUCAUGUAAUUUAAAUUAGUAUUGGUUAACAGAUUUAACGUAGAAAAUGGACAUAUAAAGAAUACAAGGAUAAAUGUCUACAUGUAAUAAUGGAUGGUAGUGAUAUAAUGCAUUUUUGUCAUCCCAUGCUGAAUUCAGUAAAAAUAAAGCUAAUGACUUGGAGCUUUUAAAAGAU
Homo sapiens (human) is the source of this 1379-nucleotide long non-coding RNA. Ensembl annotates it as miR222/221 cluster host gene. Its record names the gene MIR222HG. Lineage: Eukaryota; Metazoa; Chordata; Mammalia; Primates; Hominidae. The record is from Ensembl.